GACGAACGCUGGCGGCGUGCUUAACACAUGCAAGUCGAACGAGAAUCUAUGGAUCGAGGAUUCGUCCAAGUGAAGUAGAGGACAGUGGCGGACGGGUGAGUAACGCGUGAGGAACCUGCCUUUCAGAGGGGGACAACAGUUGGAAACGACUGCUAAUACCGCAUGACACAUAGAGAUCGCAUGGUUUUANGUCAAAGAUUUAUCGCUGAAAGAUGGCCUCGCGUCUGAUUAGCUAGUUGGUGAGGUAACGGCCCACCAAGGCGACGAUCGGUAGCCGGACUGAGAGGUUGAACGGCCACAUUGGGACUGAGACACGGCCCAGACUCCUACGGGAGGCAGCAGUGGGGAAUAUUGCACAAUGGGGGGAACCCUGAUGCAGCGACGCCGCGUGGAGGAAGAAGGUCUUCGGAUUGUAAACUCCUGUUGUUGAGGAAGAUAAUGACGGUACUCAACAAGGAAGUGACGGCUAACUACGUG
Molecule: ribosomal RNA, 477 nt
Filed under: uncultured bacterium
Lineage: Bacteria
Description: bacterial SSU rRNA
Rfam family: Bacterial small subunit ribosomal RNA
Source: RNAcentral